GUGCUCUCUUAGGCAGCACGUACACUAAAACUGGAAUGAUACAGAGAAGAUUAGCAUGGUCCCAGCAAAAAGAUAAUUCAUAAAGCAUUCUACAUAUUU
This 99-nucleotide small nuclear RNA is filed under the name Rhinolophus ferrumequinum (greater horseshoe bat). The record is from RNAcentral. Lineage: Eukaryota; Metazoa; Chordata; Mammalia; Chiroptera; Rhinolophidae.